GCCUGAUGGGUGAGAUCCCUAUGACCUCUAAAGGUCUCUGCUGCUGGUAGUUGAGAUCUCCAUGACCUCUAAAGGUCUCUGCUGCUGGUAGGUGAGAUCUCCAUGACUUCUAAAGGUCUCUGCUGCUGGUAGGUGAGAUCUCCAUGACCUCUAAAGGUCUCUGCUGCUGGUAGUUGAGAUCCCUAUGACCUCUAAAGGUCUCUGCUGCUGGUAGUUGAGAUCUCCAUGACCUCUAAAGGUCUCUGCUGCUGGUAGUUGAGAUCUCCAUGACCUCUAAAGGUCUCUGCUGCUGGUAGUUGAGAUCCCUAUGACCUCUAAAGGUCUCUGCUGCUGGUAGUUGAGAUCCCUAUGACCUCUAAAGCUCUCUGCUGCUGGUAGUUGAGAUCCCUAUGUCCUCUAAUGCUCUCUGCUGCUGGUAGGUGAGAUCCCUAUGACCACUCACAGUCUCUGCUGGUGGUAGUUGAGAUCCCUAUGUCCUCCAAAGCUCUCUGCUGCUGGUAGUUGAGAUCCCCAUGACCUCUAAAGGUCUCUGCUGGUGGUAGGUGAGAUCUCCAUGACCUCUAAAGGUCUCUGCUGCUGGUAGUUGAGAUCCCUAUGACCUCUAAAGGUCUCUGCUGCUGGUAGUUGAGAUCCCUAUGACCUCUAAAGCUCUCUGCUGCUGGUAGUUGAGAUCCCUAUGUCCUCUAAUGCUCUCUGCUGCUGGUAGGUGAGAUCCCUAUGUCCUCUAAAGCUCUCUGCUGCUGGUAGUUGAGAUCCCUAUGUCCCCUAAAGGUCUCCGCUGUGGUAGGUGAGAUCCCUAUGACCACUCACAGUCUCUGCUGCUGGUAGUUGA
Brienomyrus brachyistius is the source of this 832-nucleotide long non-coding RNA. RefSeq lists it as uncharacterized. The record is from RefSeq and is a predicted model, not a curated record. Lineage: Eukaryota; Metazoa; Chordata; Actinopteri; Osteoglossiformes; Mormyridae. The transcript is spliced from 8 exons.